UACGUAGGUGGCAAGCGUUGUCCGGAAUUACUGGGCGUAAAGUGUGCGCAGGCGGCCGCGCAAGUCGAGUGUGAAAUCCCCGGGCUUAACUUGGGAAUUGCGCUCGAAACUACGUGGCUGGAGUGUGGCAGAGGAAGGUGGAAUUCCACGUGUAGCGGUGAAAUGCGUAGAGAUGUGGAGGAACACCGAUGGCGAAGGCAGCCUUCUGGGCCAACACUGACGCUCAUGCACGAAAGCGUGGGGAGCAAACAGG
This 253-nucleotide ribosomal RNA is filed under the name uncultured bacterium. RNAcentral describes it as "partial 16S ribosomal RNA". It matches the Rfam family "Bacterial small subunit ribosomal RNA", at positions 524 to 776 of the family's 1533-position model. The record is from RNAcentral.